RNAcentral lists this ribosomal RNA (360 nucleotides) under Nototriton richardi. Its description in RNAcentral is "partial 16S ribosomal RNA". The stretch from base 41 to 156 matches the Rfam family "Bacterial large subunit ribosomal RNA", at positions 714 to 852 of the family's 2925-position model. The record is from RNAcentral. Lineage: Eukaryota; Metazoa; Chordata; Amphibia; Caudata; Plethodontidae.
CUAGCAAGUAUAACCCAACAAAAAGAAUUAAGCUGGACACCCCGAAACCGGACGAGCUACUUUAAGACAAUAAUCGAAUUAAUCCAUCUCUGUGGCAAAAGAGUGGAAAGAUCUUAAAAUAGCGGCAAAAAACCUAACGAGCCCGGAUAUAGCUGGUUACUUGAGAAUGAAUUUAAGUUCAAUUAAAAGCAAUUUUCACCAACAAGGACUCUACUUUUAUUUUAACAAAUUAAGGUACAACUUAAUUAGUAAAGGGAACAACCUAAAUAAAUGAGUAAAGAUUAUAUUCAUUAAGGAUUACAGCCCAGUAGACUUAAAAGCAGUCACCAUACAAUAGCGUUAAAGCUUAACCAAUAUAAC